Astatotilapia calliptera (eastern happy) is the source of this 922-nucleotide long non-coding RNA. The record is from Ensembl. Lineage: Eukaryota; Metazoa; Chordata; Actinopteri; Cichliformes; Cichlidae.
GGUGUGUUUGCCCUCGACUGUGUUCGGUGAGUUAAGAACCGAAAACACACUCCUCACUCAUUGGAUGACUUCAAGCCUGAGCUGAUACAGCGAGUUCGGUGGAAAUGAAGAGAGAGGUCGCAAUCCGUUGCCUGAAGGUGUAUCUGAAAGAGAAGGAAGAGGAUCUCUUCAGAGAACAGCUGGAUGGUGAACAACAGUUCCCAGAAGAAGUGGUAAAGAUUGUAGUCACCAGACGUGCAGCAGUGUCUCUCAAAGCUGUCGCUAAAAUUGUGAUUGAAGGAACAGCAGUCCUGGAAGACCUUGAUGUGCCCAGAGUGUGUGCCUUAAUGAUGGGGCUUAUAUACACUCUCAAUCUGAGCUACCCAAAACAAGUAAAGAACACUCUAGAGGUAUUUCUGGAACUUGAUGGGCUUAAACCAGUCCACGGGUAAUGUCUGUUAAGUGCAAACUUCUGUCAUGAAACGAAUGUGAAUUGGACUGUAGUAUUCCGAUGUGCCUCUUACGUUUUUGUAUGCAGUCCCAGAUGAGUGUAGUUUUGAGAAAAGUUUGUAAUACAUAUAAUCUUAGCUUUGGAUUGUUCUGUUGUUGAACAUUAAAAUCUUUUGUCAUUUCCUUGAUUCUGCGACAAGUUGAACAAGUUGAUACCAAUUUAUGUUAAUGUUAAUGUACAUGAAGUACUUUUUUUUUUUUAGUCAUUUAUAAUUAAAGGGCUGCUGUAAUGUUUCAUUUAUGUUGUAUUGACACAGAAGUGUAUUACUUUGAAAAUGUUUUGUAAUAAAAUAAUCAAUUGGAAUAAGUGAAAUGGCUUUGUGUGAUUUUUAGAAAAGCUACUAUAGAAACCUAAACUAAUUGGCAUGGAUAAUUGUGAGUAGGAUAUAUGUAAAAAAGUUCGUUGGUGUAACUCAACUAAUGUAAUUUCUCA